RNAcentral lists this ribosomal RNA (742 nucleotides) under uncultured bacterium. RNAcentral describes it as "bacterial SSU rRNA". It matches the Rfam family "Bacterial small subunit ribosomal RNA", at positions 8 to 796 of the family's 1533-position model. The record is from RNAcentral.
AGAGUUUGAUCCUGGCUCAGAACGAACGCUGGCGGCAGGCUUAACACAUGCAAGUCGAGCGGGCCCUUCGGGGUCAGCGGCGGACGGGUUAGUAACGCGUGGGAACGUGCCCUUUGCUCUGGAAUAGCCCUGGGAAACCGGGGGUAAUACCGGAUGUGCCCUGAGGGGGAAAGGUUUACCGGCAAGGGAUCGGCCCGCGUCUGAUUAGGUAGUUGGUGGGGUAAUGGCCCACCAAGCCUACGAUCGGUAGCUGGUUUGAGAGGAUGAUCAGCAACACUGGGACUGGGACACGGCCCAGACUCCUACGGGAGGCAGCAGUGGGGAAUCUUAGACAAUGGGCGAAAGCCUGAUCUAGCCAUGCCGCGUGGGUGAUGAAGGCCUUAGGGUCGUAAAGCCCUUUCGCCGGGGAAGAUAAUGACGGUACCCGGUAAAGAAACCCCGGCUAACUCCGUGCCAGCAGCCGCGGUAAUACGGAGGGGGUUAGCGUUGUUCGGAAUGACUGGGCGUAAAGCGCGCGUAGGCGGAUCGCAAAGUUGGGGGUGAAAGCCCAGGGCUCAACCCUGGAAUUGCCUUCAAGACUCGCGGUCUGGAGUUCGAGAGAGGUGGGUGGAAUUCCGAGUGUAGAGGUGAAAUUCGUAGAUAUUCGGAGGAACACCAGUGGCGAAGGCGGCCCACUGGCUCGACACUGACGCUGAGGCGCGAAAGCGCGGGGAGCAAACAGGAUUAGAUACCCCAGUAGUCC